Phragmites australis (common reed) is the source of this 1591-nucleotide long non-coding RNA. RefSeq lists it as uncharacterized. The record is from RefSeq and is a predicted model, not a curated record. Lineage: Eukaryota; Viridiplantae; Streptophyta; Magnoliopsida; Poales; Poaceae. The transcript is spliced from 4 exons.
GACUGCUCUGCGAAUAAUGAGGGGGAAAGAGAGAGAGAGACUUUCUGAAGUGAUGUUGGCCACGGAGAGGAAGGUGAGCAAGCAGCAAUCACCGGUUCCUGGCUGCUGCAUCUGGCCUAGUGCAGGCGAGGUGCGCAGGUUCAGCGGCCGUGGUGAUGGUCGUCGUUGCUAGCGUAGUGGCGAGAGCCCAGGGCGGUGGCGGCGGAUUCGAUGGCAGCCUAGAGCGCGGGGGUCGCGGUCUUCCAUGGCGGAGGCCGUGCUGUGUUGUUACCGUCAAGGAAUUGGAUGGAGAUUGGAACAAGGAGAGGAGAGGAGAAAGAAAAUUGUCUGGCUAGGCCAAGGGGCUACCACAUCGAGCGUCGGGGAGGCGGCUCCGGGGCGGCCGCGAGCUGGAACCGGGCGACGGCGACGGCGGCGAGCAGGUAGCAUCGGGAGAGACCGGUGGCGGCGAGGAGGUGACAGCGCAAGGGGGGGUAACGCUAUUCCUUUUCCCUGCAUCCGCAGGGGCCACCGACGCCUGCGAGCAUGACUAGCCAGGAACGAGAUUUCCUGACGUGCCUGCUAGCCUCGCUUGGAGAUCCCUUUUGGACUAGCUGCACCUGGCUCCAGGGACUAACCGACUGAGCAGGCAACCAGUCAUGCCAAGCCUGCACCUCGCAAGCUUGGUGCAUGCUACAACACAAUCGAAGCCACGCGUUUGGAUGAAGUAACCAAACCCCUUGCUAAUCGAAGCCACGCGCAUCCAACGUUCCUGCCCCAGCUCGUCGACCUCCGCAACUUCGCCGAUAUCGAUCGGUGAUUCCUUCGGAUCUCUUCGAGACGUCCGCAUCGGGAGCUUGAUGGAUUGGGCGAGUGGAAGGAGAAUAACCAGUUGUUCUGUGCAUUAUGGGAGCUGUAUUACAAUGACAAAUCCAAUGAAGAAUAAGAAGCAUGCAUCUUCUGUGAAUCAAGCUGGUGAAAUGUUGUGAAACUGGUGUUAACCCAGAAGGUGGCUGCAAGAUGUGGUAGGAAAUUGCGACAGAAAAGAAAAUUGCAGGCAGGACAUGGCUGGAAACCAUUACAAAGGUCACAGCAUAGUACAACUACAGAUGAGAUCAACCAGACAAGUUCAUUUAGUACGGUCAGGGGUUGCUGCCGUGCUGGUUGUGAGUGACAUCUCGGCGUGCGGCGGUGCAGGUCGGGGCGACGCGGUGAACCCGUCUUGGUCGCUGCCCGCGCACGACGGCGAGCAACGAGGAAGGGGCGGUCAAGGUGGUCGCAGCCGUCGGCGGCGCAGAGCCAUACUGCCGCAUUCCAGCAAACGCUCGCUGCCUGCUGUCAGGGAAAUUGCGAGAGAAAUUUUUUUUAAAAAAAUGCGGGCAAGACGAAUAUGGCUGGAAACCAUUACAUAGGUCACAGCUUAGUAAAUAACACGUACAGAUGGGAUCAACCAGACAAGUUCAACGUCAACUAAGUACGAGAGGGCAUAAAAAUAGCACUGCUGCAAAGCAAAUUACAAUAGGAGUCUAGUGGAAGCAACAUGUUAUUUGCCCAAACGACUAAUUAUACUCUUGACUCACUAAAUAGAACUGACUUUGCCACACAAUAAGCA